RNAcentral lists this non-coding RNA (29 nucleotides) under Mus musculus (house mouse). The record is from RNAcentral. Lineage: Eukaryota; Metazoa; Chordata; Mammalia; Rodentia; Muridae.
UCAAAUUUCUGGAAAAGUCUGAAUUUGAA